Phascolarctos cinereus (koala) is the source of this 327-nucleotide long non-coding RNA. RefSeq lists it as uncharacterized. The record is from RefSeq and is a predicted model, not a curated record. Lineage: Eukaryota; Metazoa; Chordata; Mammalia; Diprotodontia; Phascolarctidae.
CAUGCUAUUUUCAAGCACAUAUCUCCAACUUUGUGUGUGGCGUUCACUAUAUUGUGUGGGGAAUUCUCGGCACAGACAAGGUGAUUAGUGCUUCACCAAUCAUUGACAGAGAAUUCGAGGCCCAGAAAAGGGAGAUGGUUUCUUGAAGGCCAUCUUCACCAGUUCUAAUGGUACCAGGGCAUCUGCUAGGGCAAUUCAUUACACAGAGGGGGUCAAAGGACUGCAAGCAAAUGACACGAUCACCACCAGUCGUGAUUCAGAGAGAUAAUAAUGGAGGAGAGAAGAGCCCGGCAUGCUGUGGUCCAUGGAAUCACAAAGAGCUGGACA